RNAcentral lists this ribosomal RNA (253 nucleotides) under uncultured bacterium. RNAcentral describes it as "partial 16S ribosomal RNA". It matches the Rfam family "Bacterial small subunit ribosomal RNA", at positions 524 to 776 of the family's 1533-position model. The record is from RNAcentral.
UACGUAGGGGGCAAGCGUUGUCCGGAUUUAUUGGGCGUAAAGAGCGUGUAGGCGGCCAGACAGGUCCGUUGUGAAAACUCGAGGCUCAACCCCGAGACGCCGAUGGAAACCGUCUGGCUAGAGUCCGGAAGAGGAGAGUGGAAUUCCUGGUGUAGCGGUGAAAUGCGCAGAUAUCAGGAAGAACACCCGUGGCUAAGGCGGCUCUCUAGUACGGUACUGACGCUGAGACGCGAAAGCGUGGGGAGCGAACAGG